RNAcentral lists this ribosomal RNA (406 nucleotides) under uncultured prokaryote. Its description in RNAcentral is "bacterial SSU rRNA". It matches the Rfam family "Bacterial small subunit ribosomal RNA", at positions 355 to 776 of the family's 1533-position model. The record is from RNAcentral.
UGGGGAAUUUUCCGCAAUGGGCGCAAGCCUGACGGAGCAAUACCGCGUGAGGGAGGAAGGCUUUUGGGUUGUAAACCUCUUUUCUCAAGGAAGAAGUCCUGACGGUACUUGAGGAAUCAGCAUCGGCUAACUCCGUGCCAGCAGCCGCGGUAAUACGGAGGGUGCGAGCGUUAAUCGGAAUUACUGGGCGUAAAGCGCGCGUAGGCGGUUAUCUAAGCUAGAUGUGAAAUCCCCGGGCUCAACCUGGGAAUGGCAUUUAGAACUGGAUGGCUAGAGUACAGCAGAGGGGUGUGGAAUUUCCGGUGUAGCGGUGAAAUGCGUAGAGAUCGGAAGGAACAUCAGUGGCGAAGGCGACACCCUGGGUUGAUACUGACGCUGAGGUGCGAAAGCGGGGGGAGCAAACAGG